Molecule: ribosomal RNA, 253 nt
Filed under: uncultured bacterium
Lineage: Bacteria
Description: partial 16S ribosomal RNA
Rfam family: Bacterial small subunit ribosomal RNA
Source: RNAcentral
UACGGAGGUUGCAAGCGUUAUCCGGAUUUAUUGGGUUUAAAGGGUGCGUAGGCGGGAAAAUAAGUCAGUGGUGAAAGCCUACAGCUUAACUGUAGAACUGCCAUUGAUACUGUUUUUCUUGAGUAUAGUUGAGGUGGGCGGAAUGUGUAAUGUAGCGGUGAAAUGCUUAGAUAUUACACAGAACACCGAUUGCGUAGGCAGCUCGCUAAACUAAAACUGACGCUGAGGCACGAAAGCGUGGGGAGCAAACAGG